GAUGAACGCUGACGGCGUGCCUAAUACAUGCAAGUCGAGCGAACGGACGAGAAGCUUGCUUCUCUGAUGUUAGCGGCGGACGGGUGAGUAACACGUGGAUAACCUACCUAUAAGACUGGGAUAACUUCGGGAAACCGGAGCUAAUACCGGAUAAUAUUUUGAACCGCAUGGUUCAAAAGUGAAAGACGGUCUUGCUGUCACUUAUAGAUGGAUCCGCGCUGCAUUAGCUAGUUGGUAAGGUAACGGCUUACCAAGGCAACGAUGCAUAGCCGACCUGAGAGGGUGACCGGCCACACUGGAACUGAGACACGGUCCAGACUCCUACGGGAGGCAGCAGUAGGGAAUCUUCCGCAAUGGGCGAAAGCCUGACGGAGCAACGCCGCGUGAGUGAUGAAGGUCUUCGGAUUGUAAAACUCUGUUAUUAGGGAAGAACAUAUGUGUAAGUAACUGUGCACAUCUUGACGGUACCUAAUCAGAAAGCCACGGCUAACUACGUG
RNAcentral lists this ribosomal RNA (497 nucleotides) under uncultured bacterium. Its description in RNAcentral is "partial 16S ribosomal RNA". It matches the Rfam family "Bacterial small subunit ribosomal RNA", at positions 28 to 507 of the family's 1533-position model. The record is from RNAcentral.